CUCAGAUCCUUUUUCCCCUUCAUCUUUUCCCCCAAUCUCCGUCGAAACUCAAUCCAAUUACAGAUGGUCGGAGGCUUUGAAGUGGGAGCUGUCCCCUACAACCCGGACGGUUGGGGUCCCCCGGACUCUACUGCCACUCUCGUCGCUUCCUCUAACCUCCCUCUCAAUGUCCCCUUUGCCCCAUUCUCUCGCUCCGAUAAGCUUGGCCGGAUCGCCGAUUGGACCCGAACCAUGAAUAACCCUGG
This 245-nucleotide unclassified non-coding RNA is filed under the name Hevea brasiliensis (rubber tree). The record is from RNAcentral. Lineage: Eukaryota; Viridiplantae; Streptophyta; Magnoliopsida; Malpighiales; Euphorbiaceae.